CCUAGGAAGAGCCAGCCCAACGUUGAGGAAUCUAAAUUUUGAUCCUGUACAUAUACAGGCUUUCAGAAUUUUCCUAAACUUCAUGUAGGCUUGCAAAGAGACAACUGCACCUCGAUCUUCCGUAUGACCUAUCGGGCCUUCCUGUCUUAUUCUGCACUGUACGUUGUAUCACUGUCCUAAGUUAUUUGGUUAUAGAAGAGAUGGGUCUUCAAAAGACUUAAUGUGGCUAUUUGCACUUGAACAUGGUACCAUCUGAAAUCAAAUAGAUAAACAGUGCAUUACAUUUUAGAGAGAAUUGUAUUCCCAAAAGAGGCACCAACAUCUUUGUAAGAGAUUGUUGUUAGAGAUUAUGACUGAGAUUGAAAACAAUUUUGUGAUCCCAAUCUUCUAUAGGAAGAUUCUUCUACAGGAAGCAGUCUGAGAAAGCUACACAGGUCCUCCAAAAGCCACAUUUCCAAUGCUGUCUCCAUAUGUGGCCAAGAAUCAUCAUGAGAAACAAGACCCUUUCAGGAAGUGGACCAAGAUCCCAGGGAGCAGACCCAGGGCUUCAUCAAGGAGCAUUCUCUGUGCCCAGGAACAUGGUGCUUGCAAAGUUUGAAUACCACAAUUUCAGAAUUUCUAUAGGCCAGUGACUGCUGUGUUCCUCUUGUCUUCCCCUUCUUUGGCUUGGCCAUGUAUGAGAGUGAGAGCAACAGAAUUCACUGCUGCCCAGAAGCUUUAAAUGGUAUCUCAUGGAUCUCCCACUGCUCUUUUUUCUCUGGAUGUCCUGGAUAGGAACUUCUUCUUCAAUUUGGGUCCUGAAAUGAAGACAUCAUGAGCAUAGCCAUUGUCACUCUGUGUAGGACAAGUAGUAUGAGUGAGAAAUAAACACUAGUUGCUAUGA
Molecule: long non-coding RNA, 883 nt
Organism: Panthera uncia (snow leopard)
Lineage: Eukaryota; Metazoa; Chordata; Mammalia; Carnivora; Felidae
Exons: 2
Source: RefSeq, a predicted model, not a curated record